GACGAACGCUGGCGGCGUGCUUAACACAUGCAAGUCGAACGGAAAGGCCCUGCUUUUGUGGGGUGCGCGAGGGGCGAACGGGUGAGUAACACGUGAGUAACCUGCCCUGGACUUUGGGAUAACGUCAGGAAACGGGUGCUAAUACCGGAUAGGAGCUCCUGCUGCAGGGUGGGGGUUGGAAAGUUUCGGCGGUUGGGGAUGGACUCGCGGCUUAUCAGCUUGUUGGUGGGGUAGUGGCUUACCAAGGCUUUGACGGGUCGCCGGCCUGAGAGGGUGGCCGGCCACAUUGGGACUGAGAUACGGACCAGAGUCCUACGGGAGGCAGCAGUGGGGAAUAUUGCCCAAUGGGCGGAAGCCUGAUGCAGAAACGCCGCGUGCGGGAUGACGGCCUUCGGGUUGUAAAAAGCUUUCGGCUGUGACGAAGCGUGAGUGACGGUAAUGGGUAAAGAAGCACCGGCUAACUACGUG
Molecule: ribosomal RNA, 468 nt
Filed under: uncultured bacterium
Lineage: Bacteria
Description: partial 16S ribosomal RNA
Rfam family: Bacterial small subunit ribosomal RNA
Source: RNAcentral